Molecule: long non-coding RNA, 2932 nt
Organism: Eriocheir sinensis (Chinese mitten crab)
Lineage: Eukaryota; Metazoa; Arthropoda; Malacostraca; Decapoda; Varunidae
Exons: 2
Source: RefSeq, a predicted model, not a curated record
UUCAGUGAGGAGUCAUUAUCACUCACUCAGUCGCCAGUCGGUCCUUAAUUAAAGGCUCUCAGAGUAGAUUUGCCACGGCGGCGCUGUACCACGCACGUUACGUGGUAGCCUACCAUUUUAAAUCUCCAGCCUCUGCAGCCAAAGUCUUCAGCAGGUUCCCAUCUUGAAACUGUAUCGACCAUUUAGCGCACACAAGCCUUUCAUCAGGUAUUGUAGCCCGUCCUCCAGGCCCUUGGUUGGCACAUCUGUCCGGGAGUGUGAUGUCUGCCACUCAUCCAAUGGCUAAUAAUCAAGUGUCUCAUCCAACAUCUUUAUGCCAACCCAGCAAUAAGGUGAUGAGUGGCCCGCCUAUUAGUGGGCCAAUCACCACAGCUCCCACCACAAGUAACAGUACUUUGGGUCAAUUCCCUGCCAGUGUUUCUCAGAAUGAAAUAAUGUCGGGGUCCAGGCCCAGUAUCCCCCCUCCUCCGUACAGCACUCCCAGUGAUUCUGCCGUCAUGAACCAGAUGGCCAGCCGAACAUCUCCUGCCAUUCCCGUCUCAUCGGUUGCUGCCACAUUGGGUAUUUCUAGCCUUGCAUCUCAACACUGUUCAUGUUCUAUGACCAAUACAUCAAGUGGGGAAAAUUCCUUCCCACCCACUGCCCAACCAGGCAUGAUAACAACUAAUGCCAAUAGUGAGAAUACAGUGAUGCCAACAUCAAUUCACACUAAGGACAAUGCCUCAGGCAAUCAUUCCACUCCCUCAGAGAUGACUGAUGACAAGUCAGACGUCAAGCCGGGCCCAGCAUCAGUCAUGGAACCGCCAGGCCAGCCAGGGCAACCUGGCCAGGCGGGUCAGCCUCAGAGAAAUGCAACCCAGGCAUUGCAGCAGCUUUUACAGAAUUUGAAGAACCCCUCAGUCCCACAUCAACAAUCUGAGGUUUUACAGAUACUCAAAACUCACCCUCAGCUCAUGGCAGCUUUUAUCAGGCAUCGACAAAUUCAGCAGGAGCAACAACAACAGCAACAGCAGCAGCAGCAACAUCAGUAAAAUCUGCAGGGUGCUGGUCAGCCAGGGAUGAUUAUGAUACCCCAAAACACCAGUGGAUUGCAAGUACCUGCUCAAGGCUCCCUGCAGCCAGGUAUACAGCCUGGUGGCAUGCAGCCUCGCAUCCAAGGGAACAUGCAGACCAGCAUGCAGGGUGGGAUAGUCACACAAAUGGCUACCAGUCAACCCAUGCAGGUACAGCAGCCACCAAUGGGGGUACUGCCAGGUCAGGCAAGCAUGGCUCAACAGCAGCAGCAAUGGUACCAGCAUCAAAAACUCGUGCAGAUGAGACAACAACAGCAGCAACAGCAGUCACAACCAGGGGGUUUCAAGCAACCUCAGGCACCGAUGUACACACCCAGUUUUGUGCUCUCCUUUUUUCUGUAUUUAAUCUUUAUAUUUUAUUUUAUUUGCUGGACAAUAUUAUUAAAAUCACUCUUUUAUCACUUAUUAAUCACUCUGUAAAUGAUCUUACCGUCUCGUAUCGUAUAGCUUGAUCCGACUCAAGUUGUUAUAUGACACUAGGGUUCGGGAAUAUACAAGGGAAAAUAUACGGUACAUCUUAAAUUUAGUUUAAAAUUAAGGAAGUAAUUUCCUCACACAACAUUUAACGCUCAAUGCAAUCAUAACAUUAUGGCAUGUUCAGCAAUCAAUACGGCGUAUACAAACAUCGCGAACAUAAAAUUCUAACUAAAAAAUGCACUUGGAAUUUUUACCUAUCUAUCAAAACUCACACAAGCACCAGAACCAGUCUAGUAGUCUAGUCUAGUAGUAGGCGUGGGAUUGCCUUUGUAACGGCUCCCACUUAUGGUCCUUAUUCUUGAUUGGCGUUGUUGAGUCUUUUAGUUUUGGUGCAUUUUCUUUUUUCUUCUGAUCAAGAUUUUUAUAUAUUUUUUUCUGUCUUCAAUUUCUUACAGUGAUAAUGACUGAAACAUUAAUAUAUUGGCUAUUAAGUAGUCUCUGCUUUGGCUUUCUGUGUUCUGUAUAAAAAAAAAAUAUUUUGUCUUAUUUCUUCAUAUUCUUCACAGUCCAGAAGAAAAUGUUCUAAAGUUUCUGUUUCUUCACCACAACACGGACACUCUUCACUUUUCCUCUGAAACCUGUUCCUCCAGUUUAAAGUUAGGGUAUUAGUUCUUCCUCUUAAUAUUAAUUUUGUUCCCAAUGUGUUGUCUGCCCACGUUUCUUCUUUUAGGUCCUUUUUGUAUAAUUCAUAUAUCCUUAAUGGUGACUUUGUCUGUAUCUCGUUUUUCCAUUUCACUGAGUCCCAUUUCCUUACUUUUUCUAUUAUAUUACUCUUUGUCAGGCUAUCAAGCUGUGUUAUAUUUAGUUCAUUCACAUAUUUCUUUAAGGUUUUAGUCCACUUGUGUUAGUGUUUUCUAUUUCUCUAAGGAAUAUAUUUUCGGACAAGUUAUUUCUGUCUUCUUUCAGUAAAUGCUUAGCAAAUAGUACCGGUAAUUUAAUUUUCAUGUCUCUGGCAUAGCAAGAUGAGGCACCAAUAUCCCCUCUUAGGACACUGUUGGCGGCAAAGGUUGGGACUUGUAAUAUUGUCCUGUAGACGGCGUUUUCUAUUCUUUGUAAUUUAGUAAUUUCUUCAGUGAAUUCCAUAAUUUCAGCUGAAAAGAGUACUGCUGACAGUGCCUUUCCCUUCCAGUAAGUUUUGCCAAUGAGUAAUCUAUUACAGCAUCUUGCUAUCACACUAUGUAAUGAUAGCUAACUCACUAGCUUUGGUUAGUCUUUCUUUUUUGAAGCCCUUGAAGCAGUGUUUGUUGUUAGUUAUUUUGACUCAUAGGUAUGUUAUACUUUGUGUUACUAGAAUGUUUUCAAUACUAAUUUUUUGUUCUUUUUUGUUAAUAUAAGUAUAUUGUUUUUUUCUUUAUUUAUUAUUAAUCCAUAUUUUUCUGGUA